UUACAAUGAAGAGUUUGAUCCUGGCUCAGGAUGAACGCUAGCUACAGGCUUAACACAUGCAAGUCGAGGGGCAGCAUUAAGGAAGCUUGCUUUCUUAGAUGGCGACCGGCGCACGGGUGAGUAACGCGUAUCCAACCUGCCCCCUACCCGGGGAUAGCCUUGCGAAAGUAAGAUUAAUACCCGGUGCAGUUAUGAUUCCGCAUGGGAAU
This 209-nucleotide ribosomal RNA is filed under the name Bacteroidales bacterium KHT7. RNAcentral describes it as "16S rRNA. Bacterial SSU". It matches the Rfam family "Bacterial small subunit ribosomal RNA", at positions 1 to 197 of the family's 1533-position model. Lineage: Bacteria; Pseudomonadati; Bacteroidota; Bacteroidia; Bacteroidales. The record is from RNAcentral.